This 480-nucleotide ribosomal RNA is filed under the name uncultured bacterium. RNAcentral describes it as "partial 16S ribosomal RNA". It matches the Rfam family "Bacterial small subunit ribosomal RNA", at positions 28 to 507 of the family's 1533-position model. The record is from RNAcentral.
GACGAACGCUGGCGGCGCGCCUAAUACAUGCAAGUCGAGCGAUGGAACGUUAACAGUACUCUUCGGGGGGUAGCGGCGGAGGAUUAACGAAGGACGGGUGAGUAACACGUGAAUAACCUGCCAUAUACAGGGGGAUGGCGUCGAGAACCCGGGAUAAUUAGCACAUAAAAUCUUAAUGAUACAUGACAGAACUGCCAAAACUCAGAUAGGCUACGAUGGACUCUCGGCCAGUUCGCAAGUUGGUAGAGUAAAAGCCUACCAAGGCGUCGAUGGGCAGCCGGCCAGAGAGGGUGAACGGCCACAUUGGAACUGAGCACCGGUCCAGACUCCUACGGGAGGCGGGAGUGGGGAAUAUUGCACAACGGCGGGAGCUCUGAUGCAGCGACGCCGCGUGAACGAUGUAGUCUUUGGAGACGAAAAGUGUUUUUAUAUGGGAAGAUAAUGACGGUACCAAAAGAAAAAGCCCCGGCUAACUACGUG